This 724-nucleotide long non-coding RNA is filed under the name Paramuricea clavata. Lineage: Eukaryota; Metazoa; Cnidaria; Anthozoa; Malacalcyonacea; Plexauridae. The record is from RNAcentral.
CACAAAAUUUGGUUACAAUUCAAUAAUUUGAAAAGUGCUGUUGCAUCCCUAACCUACUAAACUGCUUGCAAAUAUUAAAGGAAAGCUAUAAGGGCAGUUAAAAAAUUUAACAAGGAUUUGGUUUAUAAAUUGUUAAUUUCUAGAGAUGAUAACACAAUACAAACAUGGAAUUCACUAUAUUCAUAUUUUUAAUGAUAUGUUUUAUAAGUCUAAAUUCCUUUUAAUAUUCCUCUGAUAUACAAAUCUUCUGAAAACUUUAAUAUUAUCAAGGUUUAUAAACGACUUAAUAUUAGAAUUGAGACUCUUCAGGUAUUUUAAUACUUACAGUAGCAAUUAAUACACAGUACAUUGUAAUUGUUUUUGUUCUUGAAAAUUGCCCUUUCCACGCGCUCUUUCAACCAUUAGAAACAUAAUAGCGUUAAACGGCUAAAUUAUGCUGGAGGAACCACAAAUGUCUCUACAUUUAAAGCUUUUUCAAACUGACACAGAGGUGAAUGGACAAGAUUACAAUUAAUUGUGACAUUUUUCUUCGACAACAGCACUCUUCGCGGCUCCUGCCGGCUCUAUACUGACCCUGUUUCACACGCAAUAUUUUCCUUAUUCAGUCGCUAACACACCUUUUGUAUCCCACUAUGAAGAACAUCAACAUUUCCACCAAAACCCCGAAAAUAUAAUCAUUUUAGACGAAACAAUAAAAUAUUUCAAACAAUUUGUUUUGCUUUUG